GACGAACGCUGGCGGCGUGCUUAACACAUGCAAGUCGAACGGAAAGGCCCUGCUUUUGUGGGGUGCUCGAGUGGCGAACGGGUGAGUAACACGUGAGUAACCUGCCCUUGACUUUGGGAUAACUUCAGGAAACUGGGGCUAAUACCGGAUAGGAGCUCCUGCUGCAUGGUGGGGGUUGGAAAGUUUCGGCGGUUGGGGAUGGACUCGCGGCUUAUCAGCUUGUUGGUGGGGUAGUGGCUUACCAAGGCGUUGACGGGUAGCCGGCCUGAGAGGGUGACCGGCCACAUUGGGACUGAGAUGCGGCCCAGCCUCCUACGGGAGGCAGCAGUGGGGAAUAUUGCACAAUGGGCGGAAGCCUGAUGCAGCAACGCCGCGUGCGGGAUGACGGCCUUCGGGUUGUAAACCGCUUUCGCCUGUGACGAAGCGUGAGUGACGGUAAUGGGUAAAGAAGCACCGGCUAACUACGUG
This 468-nucleotide ribosomal RNA is filed under the name uncultured bacterium. Its description in RNAcentral is "partial 16S ribosomal RNA". It matches the Rfam family "Bacterial small subunit ribosomal RNA", at positions 28 to 507 of the family's 1533-position model. The record is from RNAcentral.